This 337-nucleotide ribosomal RNA is filed under the name uncultured bacterium. RNAcentral's name for it is "bacterial SSU rRNA". It matches the Rfam family "Bacterial small subunit ribosomal RNA", at positions 471 to 807 of the family's 1533-position model. The record is from RNAcentral.
GACGGUACCUUAAGAAUAAGCACCGGCUAACUCCGUGCCAGCAGCCGCGGUAAUACGGAGGGUGCAAGCGUUAUCCGGAUUUACUGGGUUUAAAGGGUGUGUAGGCGGACUGUUAAGUCAGUGGUGAAAUCUCCGGGCUCAACCCGGAAACUGCCGUUGAUACUAUCAGUCUUGAAUUCUGUUGAGGUGGGCGGAAUACAUCAUGUAGCGGUGAAAUGCUUAGAUAUGAUGUAGAACACCGAUUGCGAAGGCAGCUCACUAAGCAGCGAUUGACGCUGAGGCACGAAAGCGUGGGGAUCAAACAGGAUUAGAUACCCUGGUAGUCCACGCCCUAAAC